RNAcentral lists this ribosomal RNA (164 nucleotides) under Astragalus tarchankuticus. RNAcentral's name for it is "5.8S ribosomal RNA". It matches the Rfam family "5.8S ribosomal RNA". Rfam says of the family: 5.8S ribosomal RNA (5.8S rRNA) is a component of the large subunit of the eukaryotic ribosome. It is transcribed by RNA polymerase I as part of the 45S precursor that also contains 18S and 28S rRNA. The record is from RNAcentral. Lineage: Eukaryota; Viridiplantae; Streptophyta; Magnoliopsida; Fabales; Fabaceae.
AGAAUGACUCUCGGCAACGGAUAUCUAGGCUCUUGCAUCGAUGAAGAACGUAGCGAAAUGCGAUACUUGGUGUGAAUUGCAAAAUCCCGUGAACCAUCGAGUCUUUGAACGCAAGUUGCGCCCGAAGCCAUCCGGUUGAGGGCACGCCUGCCUGGGCGUCACAU